Molecule: ribosomal RNA, 215 nt
Filed under: uncultured bacterium
Lineage: Bacteria
Description: partial 16S ribosomal RNA
Rfam family: Bacterial small subunit ribosomal RNA
Source: RNAcentral
AACUAUUGGAAACGAUAGCUAAUACCGCAUAACAAUGGAUGACACAUGUCAUUUAUUUGAAAGGGGCAAUUGCUCCACUACAAGAUGGACCUGCGUUGUAUUAGCUAGUAGGUGAGGUAACGGCUCACCUAGGCGACGAUCCCUAGCUGGUCUGAGAGGAUGACCAGCCACACUGGAACUGAGACACGGUCCAGACUCCUACGGGAGGCAGCAGU